This 97-nucleotide ribosomal RNA is filed under the name uncultured bacterium. RNAcentral describes it as "partial 16S ribosomal RNA". It matches the Rfam family "Bacterial small subunit ribosomal RNA", at positions 1386 to 1482 of the family's 1533-position model. The record is from RNAcentral.
CACACCGCCCGUCACAUCACGAAAGUGGAUUGUACUAGAAGUCCGCGCGCCAACCGCAAGGGGGCAGCGGCCCAAGGUGUGAUUCACAAUUGGGGUG